UAUUGGUCAAUGGACGCAAGUCUGAACCAGCCAUGCCGCGUGCAGGAAGACGGCUCUAUGAGUUGUAAACUGCUUUUGUAUUAGGGUAAACUCAGGUACGUGUACCUGACUGAAAGUAUAAUACGAAUAAGGAUCGGCUAACUCCGUGCCAGCAGCCGCGGUAAUACGGAGGAUCCAAGCGUUAUCCGGAUUUAUUGGGUUUAAAGGGUGCGUAGGCGUAUCGUUAAGUCAGUGGUCAAAUUGAGGGGCUCAACCCCUUCCCGCCAUUGAAACUGGCGAUCUUGAGUGGAAGAGAAGUAUGCGGAAUGCGUGGUGUAGCGGUGAAAUGCAUAGAUAUCACGCAGAACCCCGAUUGCGAAGGCAGCAUGCCGGCUUCCGACUGACGCUGAAGCACGAAAGCGUGGGGAUCGAACAGGA
RNAcentral lists this ribosomal RNA (417 nucleotides) under uncultured bacterium. RNAcentral describes it as "bacterial SSU rRNA". It matches the Rfam family "Bacterial small subunit ribosomal RNA", at positions 362 to 777 of the family's 1533-position model. The record is from RNAcentral.